UCCACCUGGGGAGUACGCCGGCAACGUGAAACUCAAAGGAAUUGACGGGGGCCCGCACAAGCGGAGGACAUGUGUUUAUUCGAUGAUACGCGAGAACCUUACCCGGGCUUGAACUGCUGAGGAAGGAUACAGAGAUGUAGACGCCCUUCGGGGCCUCAGUGGAGGUGCUGCAUGGUUGUCGUCAGCUCGUGCCGUGAGGUGUCGGCUUAAGUGCCAUAACGAGCGCAACCCUUGCCGUCAGUUGCCAUCACGUAUUGGUGGGCACUCUGAUGGGACUGCCAUCGCAAGAUGUGAGGAAGGUGGGGAUGACGUCAAAUCAGCACGGCCCUUACGUCCGGGGCUACACACGUGUUACAAUGGGGGGCACAGCGCGCCGCUACCUGGUGACAGGAUGCGAAUCGUGAAAUCCCCUCUCAGUUCGGACUGGAGUCUGCAACCCGACUCCACGAAGCUGGAUUCGCUAGUAAUCGCGCAUCAGCCAUGGCGCGGUGAAUACGUUCCCGGGCCUUGUACACACCGCCCGUCAAGCCAUGAAAGCCGGGGGUGCCUGAAGUCCGUCACCGCAAGGAUCGGCCUAAGGCAAAACUGGUGAUUGGGGCU
This 600-nucleotide ribosomal RNA is filed under the name uncultured rumen bacterium. RNAcentral describes it as "bacterial SSU rRNA". It matches the Rfam family "Bacterial small subunit ribosomal RNA", at positions 868 to 1482 of the family's 1533-position model. The record is from RNAcentral.